Molecule: transfer RNA, 73 nt
Filed under: Pangasius djambal
Lineage: Eukaryota; Metazoa; Chordata; Actinopteri; Siluriformes; Pangasiidae
Description: tRNA-Lys
Rfam family: tRNA
About the family: Transfer RNA (tRNA) molecules are approximately 80 nucleotides in length. Their secondary structure includes four short double-helical elements and three loops (D, anti-codon, and T loops).
Source: RNAcentral
GCCUGGCUAGCUCAGUUGGUAGAGCAUGGGACACUUGAUCUGAGGACCGUGGGUUUGCGCCCCACGCUGGGCG